This 420-nucleotide ribosomal RNA is filed under the name Triticum aestivum (bread wheat). RNAcentral describes it as "partial small subunit ribosomal RNA". The record is from RNAcentral. Lineage: Eukaryota; Viridiplantae; Streptophyta; Magnoliopsida; Poales; Poaceae.
AUGGCGACGAAAGCGGCGGUGCUCGUCACGCUGCUGGCACUGAACCUGCUCUUCUUCGCCUUGGCCGACGACUGCGGGUGCCACCUGCCUAGCCCGCCGCCGCCGGCAGGGGGAGGAGGAGGGGGCGGCGGCGGCGGUGGAGGCAAGGGUGGCAGCGGGCAGUGCCCGAUCGACGCGCUGAAGCUUGGGGCGUGCGCGAACGUGCUGGGCGGGCUGAUCAACCUGCGGCCGGUGACGACGCCGAAGCAGACGUGCUGCUCGCUGCUCCAGGGGCUGGCGGACCUGGAUGCGGCCGUGUGCCUGUGCACGGCGCUCAAGGCCAACAUCCUGGGCAUCCACCUCAACGUGCCCGUCGACCUCAGCCUCCUCAUCAACUACUGCGGCAAGAACGUCCCCUCCGGCUUCCAGUGCCCCUCCUAG